UCGGGCCUACGGGGGGCAGCAGUGGGGAAUAUUGGGCAAUGGGCGCAAGCCUGACCCAGCAACGCCGCGUGAAGGAAGAAGGCUUUCGGGCUGUAAACUUCUUUUAUGAGGGACGAAAGAAAUGACGGUACCUCAUGAAUAAGCCACGGCUAACUACGUGCCAGCAGCCGCGGUAAUACGUAGGUGGCAAGCGUUGUCCGGAAUUACUGGGUGUAAAGGGAGCGCAGGCGGGAAGCCAAGUCAGCUGUGAAAACUACGGGCUUAACUUGUAGACUGCAGUUGAAACUGGUUUUCUUGAGUGAAGG
This 305-nucleotide ribosomal RNA is filed under the name uncultured bacterium. RNAcentral's name for it is "bacterial SSU rRNA". It matches the Rfam family "Bacterial small subunit ribosomal RNA", at positions 331 to 652 of the family's 1533-position model. The record is from RNAcentral.